This 72-nucleotide transfer RNA is filed under the name Daphnia pulex (common water flea). It matches the Rfam family "tRNA". From Rfam's summary of the family: Transfer RNA (tRNA) molecules are approximately 80 nucleotides in length. Their secondary structure includes four short double-helical elements and three loops (D, anti-codon, and T loops). Lineage: Eukaryota; Metazoa; Arthropoda; Branchiopoda; Diplostraca; Daphniidae. The record is from Rfam by way of RNAcentral.
GCCUCUUUAGCUCAGUGGUAGAGCACUAGUCUCGUAAACUAGGGGUCGACAGUUCAAUUCUGCCAAGAGGCA